AUGAAGUGGUCGGCGGUGGGGAAGGCGUUCUCACCACGUCCGUUCAACAAGACUGUGCUCGAAAAAACUAUGCAGAGGGCAUGGGGACUUCACCACGAAGCAAGAUUCCGUGACAUGGGCGAUAACAUAUUCGCAGUCCACUUUGGUAGCGAAGGUGAUUGGAGGCAUGCGAUGUCGAAUGGGCCUUGGCAGUUUGAUUUUAAUGUCCUGGUGUUAAAGGAGUAUGAUAGCAACGUUAGACCCUCGGAGAUGAUAUUUGACAAGGUCGAUGUUUGGGUUAGAGUUACAGAUCUGCCACCGGGGAAGAGGACGGAGAGUUUUGGCAGGGCCCUCGGCAACUGGCUAGGAGAGGUAAUCAAGGUGGAUGUGGACAAGGAUGGCAUGGCAAGAGGUAACCAGCUACGGGUUAGGGCAAGAAUCUCCAUCUUUGAACCACUGGUACGGGUUUUCUUCCUCAAGGCCACUCAGGAAGAAAAUAACAGGACAUAG
RNAcentral lists this ribosomal RNA (489 nucleotides) under Triticum aestivum (bread wheat). RNAcentral's name for it is "partial small subunit ribosomal RNA". The record is from RNAcentral. Lineage: Eukaryota; Viridiplantae; Streptophyta; Magnoliopsida; Poales; Poaceae.